GUUUUAUGCUCUUGGGGUUAACUGAAGGGAGACUCAUCUAUGCAGCUCUGGGGACAUUUCCAUCCAUGCUGGAGUAGACUCCCCAGUGACUCGGCUGUUUGGGGGGUCAUCCACACUCCUACCUCCCGCCUUCUAAACAGAGGAACACGAUGGGGAAAGGACCUGCUGGACACUCCAUGAGCCCCACUGCGACACUGAGGGCUUGAGGGGAGCCGCUGCCUGCAAAGCCUAGAAAAACUGCCAGGGAUAUGCGCAUGUGUGGGUGCCCUUAGGGGACUGAAGAUGGCACUGGAUCUCUGGGAACUGGAGUCACAGGAGGCGUGUCUACACAGCAGCCAGAAGAGUGCAUCAAACCCCCCCACCCCCGAGAAGGAGCAACAGACAGUCCUAAGCUGUGAUGCAGACAAGUGUCUCCCAACUUUAGACAAGUUAUGCCUCCUUGUGAUUGAAACCGGGACUGAAAGUCAAGAGUAGCCGCCCUGAUCCCAGUGACCACAAGGGGGCGGCCGAGGCUCUGCGUCCGCAUGUAGAGGUCA
Molecule: long non-coding RNA, 536 nt
Organism: Mesocricetus auratus (golden hamster)
Lineage: Eukaryota; Metazoa; Chordata; Mammalia; Rodentia; Cricetidae
Exons: 5
Source: RefSeq, a predicted model, not a curated record